Molecule: ribosomal RNA, 468 nt
Filed under: uncultured bacterium
Lineage: Bacteria
Description: partial 16S ribosomal RNA
Rfam family: Bacterial small subunit ribosomal RNA
Source: RNAcentral
GACGAACGCUGGCGGCGUGCUUAACACAUGCAAGUCGAACGGAAAGGCCCUGCUUUUGUGGGGUGCUCGAGUGGCGAACGGGUGAGUAACACGUGAGUAACCUGCCCUUGACUUUGGGAUAACUUCAGGAAACUGGGGCUAAUACCGGAUAGGAGCUCCUGCUGCAUGGUGGGGGUUGGAAAGUUUCGGCGGUUGGGGAUGGACUCGCGGCUUAUCAGCUUGUUGGUGGGGUAGUGGCUUACCAAGGCUUUGACGGGUAGCCGGCCUGAGAGGGUGACCGGCCACAUUGGGACUGAGAUACGGCCCAGACUCCUACGGGAGGCAGCAGUGGGGAAUAUUACACAAUGGGCGGAAGCCUGAUGCAGCAACGCCGCGUGCGGGAUGACGGCCUUCGGGUUGUAAACCGCUUUCGCCUGUGACGAAGCGUGAGUGACGGUAAUGGGUAAAGAGGCACCGGCUAACUACGUG